GUGAAUCAUCAAAUUUUUGAACGCAAAUUGCACUCUCUGGUAUUCCGGAGAGUAUGCCUGUUUGAGGGUCAGUAUAAAUAAAAAUCGGCGGGGUUGAUGCAUUUCGUGGUGAAGCAGGGAAUUAGGGUCGGGUCGCCUUCGGUUAAGUGACGUAAAAUGUUGCAUGAUGUUUGUCGAACGUAUUUAAAUGAUUUUGCGUACGGUAG
RNAcentral lists this unclassified non-coding RNA (206 nucleotides) under Glomus sp. RNAcentral's name for it is "partial contains 5.8S ribosomal RNA and internal transcribed spacer 2". The stretch from base 1 to 71 matches the Rfam family "5.8S ribosomal RNA", at positions 84 to 154 of the family's 154-position model. Lineage: Eukaryota; Fungi; Glomeromycota; Glomeromycetes; Glomerales; Glomeraceae. The record is from RNAcentral.